This 476-nucleotide ribosomal RNA is filed under the name Phycicoccus sp. RNAcentral describes it as "bacterial SSU rRNA". It matches the Rfam family "Bacterial small subunit ribosomal RNA", at positions 384 to 870 of the family's 1533-position model. Lineage: Bacteria; Bacillati; Actinomycetota; Actinomycetes; Micrococcales; Intrasporangiaceae. The record is from RNAcentral.
UGAUGCAGCGACGCCGCGUGAGGGAUGACGGCCUUCGGGUUGUAAACCUCUUUCAGCAGGGAAGAAGCGAAAGUGACGGUACCUGCAGAAGAAGCACCGGCUAACUACGUGCCAGCAGCCGCGGUAAUACGUAGGGUGCGAGCGUUGUCCGGAAUUAUUGGGCGUAAAGAGCUUGUAGGUGGUUUGUCGCGUCUGCUGUGAAAAUCCGGGGCUCAACCCCGGACUUGCAGUGGGUACGGGCAGACUAGAGUGUGGUAGGGGAGACUGGAAUUCCUGGUGUAGCGGUGAAAUGCGCAGAUAUCAGGAGGAACACCGAUGGCGAAGGCAGGUCUCUGGGCCAUAACUGACACUGAGAAGCGAAAGCGUGGGGAGCGAACAGGAUUAGAUACCCUGGUAGUCCACGCCGUAAACGUUGGGAACUAGGUGUGGGUCUCAUUCCACGAGAUCCGUGCCGCAGCUAACGCAUUAAGUUCCCC